This is a long non-coding RNA of Cucurbita moschata (crookneck pumpkin), 455 nucleotides long. RefSeq lists it as uncharacterized. NCBI's taxonomy places the organism in Eukaryota, Viridiplantae, Streptophyta, Magnoliopsida, Cucurbitales, Cucurbitaceae. The record is from RefSeq and is a predicted model, not a curated record. The transcript has 2 exons.
AAGAAACCAACUGCAGGUCUGUUAGGCAUUUCAACAAACAGAGUUCAAACAACGCAGCAGAAGAAGAUAGCGGACAUACCCAAAUUGAAUCCACUGCCAAACCAACAAAUCUUUAGAUUUCAGGCAUAAUGUUCAACACAGAUUCAAAAAGGAAACGAGAGCUCAAACAAAAACCAAAAAUAGAGAGAGGUAAAGAAAAAUGUUUGGUUAAUCUGUCAGACCGCCUUGCGACCAUCCCAGCUAGGGCGAAGCCUUGCGAGAACGAUCAUCUACCGCCGCAGAUCCAAUGGAUCGUUGGACUGUUAAUCACGCUCUAGCCGCAGGGCAGUGGUUCAUCCACCAGAUUAUGGUUCUUGUCUCCUUAGAACUCAAGGACACAGUUGUACAACCUAUAGAACAGAUCCUGUUCAAGUAAGGUCGUGCUCUAAUGCCUUCAUAUUUAGGUUUAAAUAUUA